GUCAUGUGUAAGCAUGACAUGGCUCAUGGCUGUGCAGUUGGAUUCAGGGAGCAUCUCGGAGCUGGGCAUGUGGCCGGGGCUUUGCUGGGAUGGGGAGCCUGGGCCGUUGUUCCCCUGCAUUUGCAUGUGGUGGCUGAAAGCAGAAGUGCUGAAUUCAUGCUGAUUCAAACUCUCCAACCCUGUCUGCAUGUGGUACAGCUUUCAAAUGCAACAGAAAAGAAACUUCCAGGGCUUAUUCUUGGACACAUGUUUGUGCAGGGUGUGUGUAGGAGAAAAGGAAGGCGAGUAAGUACAAACAGAGAAAGGUGAGGAGGAGGGGAAAUGUUUCACAAGCCAUUUAGCCAUUUCCUCUCCAUCCCCCACAGUUUCUUUUCUUCUUUUUAUGUCCCUCACAAUUUAAGAAAUCUCAUUAUCGUAAUAGGUUGGGUCUGAGCCAAGAAAGGGGGCCUUAGAGAAAAACAAGUGUGCUGUUUGGAAAGAUCAGGUCUUUCCUGUUAACAUGAUCACGCACAUUUCUUGAACUAGUAAAAUCUCAGUUCUUCAGUUUUAAAAUCUAUUUUGCAUCGCAUGCCUUAAAAACAGGAAGUCAAGAAGUCGUGUAAGUACGGACAUCAGAACUAGACAGACCAUGAUGAAACUUGUGUGCCCUGCAGAGCAGGGUGACACUCAGCAUGCCUGGUGCUUUCUGGUGACACUAGGAGCCAACCCCUCACCAAGAAAAGAGGGGACGUCAGCACAGUUUCCCUUUGAGCAAUGCCAGAGCACUACUUGCCAUGAAUCACGGCAAUAAUGCAAACAAUUGUGGGUGCAGCAUAGGGACUGGUUGCGAUCUGGGCUGUGCUGGGGACACAGGGGACACUGUCACCCUGAGGACACAACACUGCCAACUGGAUGAAGCCGUCACCUCGGUGUGUUUCCUCCCACACCCAGGCAGGUUUUGUAGACCAUGUCAUGGUGAUUUAAGUAAGGUUUCUCAUGCGUUUGAAAGGAACCUGCCAGGUGAAAAUGACUGCAGCUCAAUGCACUGGUCACAGAGAAACUACUCAACUCUUCUCAGAGUCCCCCUCCCUGCUGCUGCAGUCACCAAGUGGGUGGAAAACGUCCUCAGAGACUUGUCCUGGGGUUGAUGGAAGAAGCUGUUAAAAGUGUGAAGAUCAGAAGCCAGUCUGGGAUGGUUCCUCUGGCCCAACAAAUCUCCAUCAAAACCAGCCAGUGAACUACUUGGCUUUUUCUUUCUUUUUCCUUUUCAGUUUUCCCAACACUCUGAAUCAAGGGUGGGCUGUACUGUCCUACAUUUGUUUCCCUGUCUCAUUUCAGGCUCCUGGGUUUGAAGGAACAGUGUUCCCACAAAAAGUCUGCAGAGGCCAGUGUUUGUUUUUCUAAAUGGUGACUGCUGAAACCUACUACGUUCUUGGCACCGCCUGAUGCGUAAAGUCAACACUAAAGUUCCUGUUGGCUAAAGUCCCUGUCUCAGAGACUGCUCUUUGCCCAUUUAUACCUCCAGUCCGAGUGAGGAGCCCCCGAGAAGCAGUCUGUGGUGGGCCCAUAAGGCACUCUGGGGACUGGGAAGCGUUCAGGCAGUGUUUGGAGGAAAGCAAAGGGAGGCCAUUGGGUAAGCCUUGGUGCCCCAGUGCUGUGAGAAGCCAAGAGUGGUGGCAGUAGAAGAUGUGGGGUUUUCAGCCUGUUGAGGUGCUUGUUUCUCAGAGUUCUUUGGAAGGAGGGGCACCUUGCUGUCAAAAUGUCAGCAGAACACCUGCUGAUAGGGCAGAGAGCAUGGGAUUACAAAAUUAACACAUUGUGCUGCCAGUGAUGGCUUUGCAGGAGAAUCAGCUGAGUCCUAACAGGGAAGUGAUGAAAGAGCAAUGACAAUCAAGCAGGAAAGAAGGACAAUGAGGGAGGCAGACAGAUGGGAAAUCUCCUUGCUUGGACAAAAAUACCAGUGUCAUUGCUCUCUCUUAUCCCAGCUGCAAA
Molecule: long non-coding RNA, 1971 nt
Organism: Numida meleagris (helmeted guineafowl)
Lineage: Eukaryota; Metazoa; Chordata; Aves; Galliformes; Numididae
Source: Ensembl